UGGCGGACGGGUGAGUAAUAUAUAGAUAACGUGCCUCUUAGUCUGGGAUAGCCAUUGGAAACGAUGAUUAAUACUAGAUACUCCUUCUUACCACAUGAUAAGUCGGGAAAGUUUUUUCGCUAAGAGAUCGGUCUAUAUCGCAUCAGUUAGUUGGUGGGGUAACGGCCUACCAAGACAAUGACGCGUAGCGGGUUUGAGAGGAUGAUCCGCCACACUGGUACUGAGACACGGACCAGACUCCUACGGGAGGCAGCAGUGAGGAAUAUUGCACAAUGGGGGAAACCCUGAUGCAGCAACGCCGCGUGGAGGAUGACGCAUUUCGGUGUGUAAACUCCUUUUAUGAGUCAAGAAAAUGACGGUAGCUCAUGAAUAAGCACCGGCUAACUCCGUGCCAGCAGCCGCGGUAAUACGGAGGGUGCAAGCGUUACUCGGAAUCACUGGGCGUAAAGGACGCGUAGGCGGGUUAUCAAGUCAGGUGUGAAAUCCUAUGGCUCAACCAUAGAACUGCACUUGAAACUGGUAACCUAGAGUAUGGGAGGGGCAGAUGGAAUUAGUAGUGUAGGGGUAAAAUCCGUAGAUAUUGCUAGGAAUACCGAAAGCGAAGGCGAUCUGCUGGAACAUUACUGACGCUAAGGCGUGAAAGCGUGGGGAGCAAACGGGAUUAGAUACCCCGGUAGUCCACGCCCUAAACGAUGAACACUAGUCGUCGGGGAGCUAGUCUCUUCGGUGAUGCACUUAACAGAUUAAG
This 748-nucleotide ribosomal RNA is filed under the name uncultured Sulfurimonas sp. Its description in RNAcentral is "bacterial SSU rRNA". It matches the Rfam family "Bacterial small subunit ribosomal RNA", at positions 96 to 864 of the family's 1533-position model. The record is from RNAcentral. Lineage: Bacteria; Pseudomonadati; Campylobacterota; Epsilonproteobacteria; Campylobacterales; Sulfurimonadaceae.